This 74-nucleotide transfer RNA is filed under the name Mycoplasma seminis. RNAcentral describes it as "tRNA-Trp". It matches the Rfam family "tRNA". Rfam says of the family: Transfer RNA (tRNA) molecules are approximately 80 nucleotides in length. Their secondary structure includes four short double-helical elements and three loops (D, anti-codon, and T loops). Further hydrogen bonds mediate the characteristic L-shaped molecular structure. tRNAs have two regions of fundamental functional importance: the anti-codon, which is responsible for specific mRNA codon recognition, and the 3' end, to which the tRNAs corresponding amino acid is attached (by aminoacyl-tRNA synthetases). tRNAs cope with the degeneracy of the genetic code in two manners: having more than one tRNA (with a specific anti-codon) for a particular amino acid; and 'wobble' base-pairing, i.e. permitting non-standard base-pairing at the 3rd anti-codon position. Lineage: Bacteria; Bacillati; Mycoplasmatota; Mollicutes; Mycoplasmatales; Mycoplasmataceae. The record is from RNAcentral.
GGAGGUUUAGUACAGUGGUAGUAUAGUAGUCUCCAAAACUAAUGAUAAGGGUUCGAUUCCUUUAACCUCCGCCA